GAUUUUGAGUGUGGAUAACGCGUCUGCCUACGGAGCAGAAGAUUGUAGGUUCAAAUCCUGCCAGGAUCG
RNAcentral lists this transfer RNA (69 nucleotides) under Strongyloides venezuelensis. It matches the Rfam family "tRNA". From Rfam's summary of the family: Transfer RNA (tRNA) molecules are approximately 80 nucleotides in length. Their secondary structure includes four short double-helical elements and three loops (D, anti-codon, and T loops). The record is from Rfam by way of RNAcentral. Lineage: Eukaryota; Metazoa; Nematoda; Chromadorea; Rhabditida; Strongyloididae.